Non-coding RNA from Triticum aestivum (bread wheat), 152 nucleotides. Lineage: Eukaryota; Viridiplantae; Streptophyta; Magnoliopsida; Poales; Poaceae. The record is from Rfam.
CUUCUACUCCCUCCGUUCCGAAUUACUUGUCGCACGUAUGGAUGUAUCUAGAUGUAUUUUAGUUUGCCGCACGUAUGGAUGUAUCUAGAUGUAUUUUAGUUCUAGAUACAUCCAUUUCAGCGACGAGUAAUUUGAAACGGAGGGAGUACAAA